Molecule: long non-coding RNA, 375 nt
Organism: Amphiprion ocellaris (clown anemonefish)
Lineage: Eukaryota; Metazoa; Chordata; Actinopteri; Pomacentridae
Source: Ensembl
GAACAGUGUUGUGCUCGCACAUCGUCGGAGGAACGCUCUGAACAGCGACGUGUGUGUAUAUCGAGCUGGAGAGCAUGCUAGCUGAUGGCUAACACUGAAAUAGCGCCCUUGGAACGGCAGAAUGAGUUCAUUGCUCUUUUACACUGCCUGCUGGAGCCGGAGCUGUAAUUCCAGUUAGUGAGGGAUCAGAUGGAGGUCACCGCUGGCCUGUGGGGGCUGCAGCGCACCACAACUCCACCGAGCCUCCCCGGACUACAUUACAGCUUUUAUCCUCACUAAUGGGAUCUCUUGGUGGGGAAUCCCAAGGGUGAUGGGGAUUAAGAUACCUGGCUUCGCUCCCAUGCGCCGUUUACCAUGUGGGGCGCAGCAAAUAUG